Molecule: non-coding RNA, 24 nt
Filed under: Rattus norvegicus (Norway rat)
Lineage: Eukaryota; Metazoa; Chordata; Mammalia; Rodentia; Muridae
Source: RNAcentral
UAGGGCAUCUGUAGGACCCUGGGC